AGAGUUUGAUCAUGGCUCAGAUUGAACGCUGGCGGCAGGCCUAACACAUGCAAGUCGAGCGGUAGCACAGAGAGCUUGCUCUCGGGUGACGAGCGGCGGACGGGUGAGUAAUGUCUGGGAAACUGCCUGAUGGAGGGGGAUAACUACUGGAAACGGUAGCUAAUACCGCAUAACGUCGCAAGACCAAAGUGGGGGACCUUCGGGCCUCAUGCCAUCAGAUGUGCCCAGAUGGGAUUAGCUAGUAGGUGGGGUAACGGCUCACCUAGGCGACGAUCCCUAGCUGGUCUGAGAGGAUGACCAGCCACACUGGAACUGAGACACGGUCCAGACUCCUACGGGAGGCAGCAGUGGGGAAUAUUGCACAAUGGGCGCAAGCCUGAUGCAGCCAUGCCGCGUGUGUGAAGAAGGCCUUCGGGUUGUAAAGCACUUUCAGCGGGGAGGAAGGCGAUAAGGUUAAUAACCUUGGCGAUUGACGUUACCCGCAGAAGAAGCACCGGCUAACUCCGUGCCAGCAGCCGCGGUAAUACGGAGGGUGCAAGCGUUAAUCGGAAUUACUGGGCGUAAAGCGCACGCAGGCGGUCUGUCAAGUCGGAUGUGAAAUCCCCGGGCUCAACCUGGGAACUGCAUUCGAAACUGGCAGGCUAGAGUCUUGUAGAGGGGGGUAGAAUUCCAGGUGUAGCGGUGAAAUGCGUAGAGAUCUGGAGGAAUACCGGUGGCGAAGGCGGCCCCCUGGACAAAGACUGACGCUCAGGUGCGAAAGCGUGGGGAGCAAACAGGAUUAGAUACCCUGGUAGUCCACGCCGUAAACGAUGUCGAUUUGGAGGUUGUGCCCUUGAGGCGUGGCUUCCGGAGCUAACGCGUUAAAUCGACCGCCUGGGGAGUACGGCCGCAAGGUUAAAACUCAAAUGAAUUGACGGGGGCCCGCACAAGCGGUGGAGCAUGUGGUUUAAUUCGAUGCAACGCGAAGAACCUUACCUGGUCUUGACAUCCACAGAACUUUCCAGAGAUGGAUUGGUGCCUUCGGGAACUGUGAGACAGGUGCUGCAUGGCUGUCGUCAGCUCGUGUUGUGAAAUGUUGGGUUAAGUCCCGCAACGAGCGCAACCCUUAUCCUUUGUUGCCAGCGGUUAGGCCGGGAACUCAAAGGAGACUGCCAGUGAUAAACUGGAGGAAGGUGGGGAUGACGUCAAGUCAUCAUGGCCCUUACGACCAGGGCUACACACGUGCUACAAUGGCAUAUACAAAGAGAAGCGACCUCGCGAGAGCAAGCGGACCUCAUAAAGUAUGUCGUAGUCCGGAUUGGAGUCUGCAACUCGACUCCAUGAAGUCGGAAUCGCUAGUAAUCGUAGAUCAGAAUGCUACGGUGAAUACGUUCCCGGGCCUUGUACACACCGCCCGUCACACCAUGGGAGUGGGUUGCAAAAGAAGUAGGUAGCUUAACCUUCGGGAGGGCGCUUACCACUUUGUGAUUCAUGACUGGGGUGAAGUCGUAACAAGGUAACCGUAGGGGAACCUGCGGUUG
RNAcentral lists this ribosomal RNA (1520 nucleotides) under Klebsiella pneumoniae. RNAcentral describes it as "bacterial SSU rRNA". It matches the Rfam family "Bacterial small subunit ribosomal RNA". The record is from RNAcentral. Lineage: Bacteria; Pseudomonadati; Pseudomonadota; Gammaproteobacteria; Enterobacterales; Enterobacteriaceae.